GAUGAACGCUGGCGGCGUGCCUAAUACAUGCAAGUCGAGCGAACGGACGAGAAGCUUGCUUCUCUGAUGUUAGCGGCGGACGGGUGAGUAACACGUGGAUAACCUACCUAUAAGACUGGGAUAACUUCGGGAAACCGUAGCUAAUACCGGAUAAUAUUUUGAACCGCAUGGUUCAAAAGUGAAAGACGGUCUUGCUGUCACUUAUAGAUGGAUCCGCGCUGCAUUAGCUAGUUGGUAAGGUAACGGCUUACCAAGGCAACGAUGCAUAGCCGACCUGAGAGGGUGGUCGGCCACCCUGGAACUGAGACACGGUCCAGACUCCUACGGGAGGCAGCAGUAGGGAAUCUUCCGCAAUGGGCGAAAGCCUGACGGAGCAACGCCGCGUGAGUGAUGAAGGUCUUCGGAUCGUAAAACUCUGUUAUUAGGGGAGAACAUAUGUGUAAGUAACUGUGCACAUCUUGACGGUACCUAAUCAGAAAGCCACGGCUAACUACGUG
Molecule: ribosomal RNA, 497 nt
Filed under: uncultured bacterium
Lineage: Bacteria
Description: partial 16S ribosomal RNA
Rfam family: Bacterial small subunit ribosomal RNA
Source: RNAcentral